UUGGUUAGGGAGCUUUUCUUUUUAGGCCUGGUCGUCGUCGGUGGGGUUGAGCUAAGCCGAGGUAGGCGAGUAGCUCCUGCUACGAAGCCACGGCAUUCCGUGGAUGGAAACACAGAUACUGUAUACCCGGGUGUGCAAUCACUGGGUUUCCAUGCACGAAGUGGCUCCGACACAGGCGAGUAGCUUGUGGAGCUGGUUUAGGCCCGCGCUUACCCCCUCGAUGCCGCAGCAAGGCUACGGUCAGGUGGCCGCCCUCCGACUCCGCGGACCCAAGCGCACCCUACGCCCUCGGCUCUCGUCGGCUGGGCCGGUCCGCCGAGAUUGACCGCCGCAGCGAGCUGGUUAGCCUGCCGCGGCCGCUCGGCAAGUACCGCCGCCAGGCCUUCCUGCUGCGCUGCCGGCACCCCGUCGUCAUGCGACGCUUCUCGUCGCUCGGCGGCAGCUGCCAUCGUCGACGUGCCGGAAAACCUAAACCUAAGCCAGAGCCACGAACGUCACACACAGGCACCGCUGCGUACUGACGAGAAGACUAUUUUGUUUGUUUCAACUCAAAAAAGAGCAAGGUAAAGGUAAUAGUCGUAUAAGACUAAAGCAAUGGUAAACGAACCGUAAUAGACUUGGUUUGUAGAGGAGUACCAGGUGCCGUUCGCUGCGCAGUCAAUGUCUCGCUCCAAAGGGGACAGCGUGAGAGGUUAGACUUACGGGCCGUCGGUAAAAAGAAACGCGCACCUCGCUGGAACCCUCUGAAACCUCAGUCCAGAGGACGAAAGAAAGAACCGGCUGUUAUAAUGAUGAGGCAACAUCGAUCGAUACGCUACCAACAGGUCAAAGAUCAAAAUGGAAGAUUAAGGUAGAGACGUCGGCCUGACCAGACUUCUUCGUGUGUGGGGAGUUAAUCAGAGAACGACCUUCUACUCCUUCUACCGGAAAUCCCCGUGAAGAACGUAAGGUUAAAACUAGGAGGGUAAGGACUCAAGUGAGACGGUUAGGCUACUGGUCGAGUGUGUACGUUUCGGCGAGAGGCGGCCGCUGUACGAGCAGAGGUUCCCGCCCCUGAAACGCGAGCCGAAGAAGAGGGGCUUGUCGAGGUUGUGUUCGAACAUGGAACCGUAUACCAUGUUGUCGUAGGGACCGGCGUGGCAACAUACCUGGCGGUUGGCGCUGCUAGGUUAGCGGCGUUGAAGUAGAGACUACGAGCGGUAGUGGUUGUUAAGGCUGGACCACAACAGACUGAGGGUUCCAGUGUGAGGAACCCACCACUUCUCGCCGUAGUGCCCACACCCUCAAUGACGCCACGACGCAAGCAGCCCCUUGAAACAGGAGUACAGAGGUUUACCCUGUAGGUAUACCGUCUCAAAACUAAUGGGCUGUCUGUGGUAAGAGGGGCCACGAUCCUAGAUGGACUCGCCCUUCCGAGCACAACAGUCCGCAGAUUAACGAACCUUCCCGGGGUAAUUGGGUAGGUAACCUCUAAAAAGAAACCCGGAACUGGGUUUGAGCUUGGAAGUCAAUUAGUAGACCGUACCCUGAUACGGGAUGGAGGCGGCGUUAUAAGAGCUACCACGCAGUCAUCCACCACCGUGCAUGGUCUUAUGAUAGAAGAUGCCUCAUACUUCGCUACCAACCUUGUUCCCUGCCCACGAUAAUACUUAAGUGACAAAGACCACCGAGUGGCAUACGUGCGGAAUACGAACUGAUGUACCCGCACAACUCCAUGGAAUCGACCUUGUUGGCGAGUAGAACCCGUUGGCAGUGGCUCUUGGGGCGAUGGUGGACGCUGAACAUGCAUGCGAAGUACACCAGGCAAGCCGAUAACGCUGUUGUGACCCCGACGGCGCUGUACGGCAACAGAGCUACCCAAACUUAGGCGACCAGAAUUGUAAAGCUCGCCUACAUCUUCUUGGUUCCUUGACCUUACGCCGUCCGUUUCAGUAAAGCACUGGAACGGAUUCUACUUCAAGGGACUGUUAAAAAAUGUACAGGGGUUGUGUUCGAAACUGCUUACGUGCUGACUCACAUCGUUGUUAACGAGCACAUAUCGGGUGCGGAUGUGGUUUAACUCGUCAUUACCACGAUACCGGCUGGUCAGUUUAACGAACGAAACCUGUCCCCUCGAACAGCUAUGUCCCUUCAUAUCGUUGUUACUGUUCUUGGACAUGGAGGCCGAACGAUUGAGAGGACCAUACGUGGUGAGGUAAAAUUGGAAGAUCAAUAGAACCGUGAAUUACAAUAGUUUAGUUGUGGUUGGAAUUAGCACCCAGUAGAUGAUUUAUAUACUUGAAUUGUCAACAUAUCGUCUGACGGUUUAUAAAGAAACGCAGGUUUAUUAAACCGCAUCCCCAUUAGUCAUCUAGAUAUUGAUAAUAUAUGCUCGUAUUACGUUGUACGAGUACCAUUGUGUAAAUAGAUCAGGUGCCUAGUGAGUGCCAUGAGAUUUAAUAAAAACAAAUUUUUUUCACUACAACAAUUUAAAUAUGUACUAAACAAAACGACAAUCUUUACCGUUAAACCAUUUCUAAUAUGAGGGUUGGUACAGUACGCACGACUAUGAGCGUACGUAUCGGGAACCCUAUACGUUUAUGUUUCCAUUUUAUCUUUUACAGAGAGCAAAGUUUUAACAUGAAGUAACAAUACUCACAAUUAUUGUUUCAUAACUAGAAAUCGUUCGUUUGUUUUCUUCUUCCUUUAGGUGUUGCCUGGUUACGGUCCUAUGGAAUCGAGUAGAUUACUUCAACCACCAUUUGUACACCUGAAAGGAAAACAAUCGAAACUUCUAUAACGGUGCCGUUGCCUAUUAAAGAGCCUGAGAUUUGUUUAGCCUUCACCACCAAAACCUUUUCAAAUAUUCCCAUAGGACGUUCCCUUGUGACUUCAACGAUAGUUUUCUGAGUCAUUCCCAAGACCCGUUCCCUACCUCCUCAAAUUUUUACUCUAUUAAGAUUAACGUUUUAACGUCGUGUUUUUGGAACAAUCUGAAGAACCAACGACAUAAGUACCUCUACUCUCCAAUGAAUAGAUACUUAUGAAUGGUUUAUUUUCGGACCUACGGAAGGAAAAACUAUCGUGCUCUGUUAUACACGAACUAACCGGGUGUGCGAAGGUUUAUUAAUUUCCCCACCGCUCUCCAGAAGAAAUGGAGGUGGUUCUAAGUUCUAAUUGAUAUUAAGUGUCUCUAGACUUUGGUUCGUUGUAGAACGACCUAAGACUUUACUGAGGGUUUUAUAGUCUAAAGCCAUACCGUUCCUAGAAACCACCUUUGUCUGUUCGUUUUUGAUGGGCCCAACAACCCUGUAUACCGAUGUACAGCGGACUUAUACAAUACCCUCCACGGAAAAGACAUUUUAGCCUGUGGAUAUCGAAGCCACAAGAAGAGAAUCUCCAACAUUCACCGAACUUCUAGUGGAGUGGCGUUGACCGUCACUUGAAACAGCCGGACUGUUGAAUACGCACCUCUGAUACCCUUCUACCUUUUCGUUGUCUUGACCACGUGAGAAGCAAACGACUCUCAACAAGUGAAGUACUUCAAGAUGCCACAUAAGUACAGCCGGAGAACACACAAGUUCUGGCAGGCCUACUAUCCGGUGAGUACAGUAACCACUGAAAAUACAAUCUCUUACUUUUACGUAACGAGGGUCGUGGUUUCGUCGGACGUAUAAAACGAGAUGUCUUAAAGCUUCGACUUUUUAGUUCCCUUAUGAGACACUUAUGUCACUCAUAGUGUUGUGAUCUCCCCGCAAUUACAAUAUAUACAUUUAAGGUCAUAAUCUCGAAGUCUUCGGUACAUGACAUACUAAAUGUUUAUAAAACUUACACUAAAGAAGUCAUCCAUUAACACGAUAAGCGUCUUUCGGACACUAGUCUCCUGAUUAACUAUUACGAGACAAAGCUUAUUUUUCAAUCCAAAAAGAACGAGACAUCGACAACCUGACAACCAUAUAGAAGUCAACGAUUGUGCUGUCCUUCUUAUUCCUAUAAGCUAGUAAGACUACGUUAUGUCACAGAACGAGUAACUACAACAACCAGGCUCUAGGGAGACCAUAAGGGAGAUUACAUGGUCAGAUAAUUGUCAAAUUUACGUUAUGUAUA
Molecule: ribosomal RNA, 4086 nt
Filed under: Triticum aestivum (bread wheat)
Lineage: Eukaryota; Viridiplantae; Streptophyta; Magnoliopsida; Poales; Poaceae
Description: partial small subunit ribosomal RNA
Source: RNAcentral